CGCGUAUCCAACCUGCCCAUCACUUGGGGAUAACCUUGCGAAAGUAAGACUAAUACCCAAUGACGUCUCUAGAAGACAUCUGAAGGAGAUUAAAGAUUUAUCGGUGAUGGAUGGGGAUGCGUCUGAUUAGCUUGUUGGCGGGGUAACGGCCCACCAAGGCUACGAUCAGUAGGGGUUCUGAGAGGAAGGUCCCCCACAUUGGAACUGAGACACGGUCCAAACUCCUACGGGAGGCAGCAU
This 240-nucleotide ribosomal RNA is filed under the name uncultured bacterium. RNAcentral describes it as "partial 16S ribosomal RNA". It matches the Rfam family "Bacterial small subunit ribosomal RNA", at positions 114 to 353 of the family's 1533-position model. The record is from RNAcentral.